Long non-coding RNA from Seriola aureovittata, 254 nucleotides. RefSeq lists it as uncharacterized. The transcript is spliced from 3 exons. The record is from RefSeq and is a predicted model, not a curated record. NCBI's taxonomy places the organism in Eukaryota, Metazoa, Chordata, Actinopteri, Carangiformes, Carangidae.
AAGAGGAAAACACAACAGUCACUUACACCACAUGGAAGACAGGACACAUCUCAUACAAACCGUCAUUCAAAUGCAGCUCACAUUGCACAAAGAGGCUAGGCUCCGAGCAGAGGGACGACAGAGGGCAGUAAGGGCGAGACGGUCAGGCCUCACUCAGCACCUGCUCCAGAAGCCCAUGUUUCCACAGGCCUUCUUUUGAUAGUCCACAGGCAGGAUGUUCUUCUCCACCAGCUCCAUGGGUCCAGGACGCUGUG